CCCGGACCCUGUGGCCUCGCCCCGACGGCCGCUCCACCCCCAGGCAGCCGGGCCGCCCGGAGCCCUCGAGGAUGGAGGUCCUGGACGAGUUCGACAGUGAGUUCCCCCCGAGUGUGACCUUCUGCCAGCUCAUCUCUGAGGAGGACUUCGAGAGGCAGGCUGCGACCUACACGGAGCGCGCGCUGCGCCGCCUCUUCCGCAGCAUCGACCGCAACCCGGCGCUGGCCGAGAGGGUGGUGCGCAAGGGCAAGCAGGCCGAGUGCGAGCGGCGCGGGUUCCUCUCCUUCCUCUGGGCCAAGCUCUCCUGCGCCGUCCAGGGGGAUAUGAACUGUUGCAACAGCAUGGGCGCCCGGGAGAUGCACCAGCGCCUGGAGCAGCUGAAGAGGGGCAUCCACCGCGUGCACCUCUACUCGCAGGAUGCCAAGAAGAAGAGAAGGAAGCCAAAACCGAAGAAAUCAGAACCCAUCCUCUUGAGAGACCGGUCAACCUCCCCGUGCCUGCCACCAACCUUGCCACCUCCACCACUGCCACCACCUGCCACCACCAUGGCCUCCAUGGUGGCCCCAUCAUCCCCUGUCUACACUAUGCCCAGGGUCUUUGGCCCCUUCCCUCCACUGCCCAGCACAUCGGUCAGUGGCCCUUGGAGAGGCAGGAAGCAGCCCAGCUCCUCUUCCAGGCCCACAGCAGUGGCUUCCAGAACUUUCUGUUUAAGCCACAGAACUCUCUGCAGGCAGCAGUUGAUAAGCAGAUGGAAAGGGGCUGCUCUCCUUGAAGGGUUGGGGUGGAGGGAGGCACAGAGCUCCACCUGCUUGGCCCCAGUGCCCUGGGUGGAAGCCUGGGGCCCCCAUCUCCAGCCUGAUGCCUGCUUCUCCCCAUGGGUGUCAUUCUCAGUGCUGUCCUCUGAGGGCCCCUGCAGUGCUAUCCCUGCCCGCCUGCCCCUCCUGACUCCCCCUUACCCUACACCUGUCCCCCAGGCUGGGUUAAGACCUCCUCCCUUGGCUCCCAGCCCCCAUCCUGUGCCCUGUGCCCCAACACCCAGCUCUAGGUGGGCACUGAGAAUGAGCCUGGUGUGUUUGCUGAUUGACAGAAACAUACGUCAUUCUCCUAGUUCCUGGAGAAGGUGUUUUUCUUCAUGGCGAGGACCCCAAACUUGUCCUGAAAUUUCCUUUGUUUCCUGAAGGUGGAGAAACUGGAAGUUUCAAGGUCUGAAGUGAAAUUAAAUUGGACUGGCCUCUCAUCAAACCCAAAGAGCCACAUGGUUGAUCUGACCCCCUUGGUCCUCAAUCCUGGAGGCUUCCACUUCUCGUACCUGGCCAGGAACAGUGCUC
This is a non-coding RNA of Vicugna pacos (alpaca), 1328 nucleotides long. The record is from RefSeq and is a predicted model, not a curated record. Lineage: Eukaryota; Metazoa; Chordata; Mammalia; Artiodactyla; Camelidae.